Gallus gallus (chicken) is the source of this 450-nucleotide long non-coding RNA. The record is from Ensembl. Lineage: Eukaryota; Metazoa; Chordata; Aves; Galliformes; Phasianidae.
CAGCUUCCAGGAACACCGUCACUUCCAGAACCAACUGCUCAGAGCCUGAAUGCAGAGACCAAACCCAACUCCAACACAUCUUCCAGCUAUUCUCAGACAUGGAGAUGUGCGCAACCCAAAGCUGACUUCCCUACAGCAUGAUUCCCCUGUCAGCAGUUUCUCACACACUAAAGAGUCUUAGAAUGCAGGCAAAGCAUGGUUAUGGAAACUGUUGGGACCGUAGUUCAAGACACCCUGUCCACCUCUGUACAUAAAAGCAGAUUGUAUGCACAUAGAGGGGACUAGAUAGUGCCAGACCCCUCUCAAGGCAACUUCGUCAACUUCAGUAUUUGUGUGAUGCAAAGGAGGAUACAGUUGAGAAGACAGCACGAUGCUGGACUAUUUCAACAUGGAGGUCCACAACAGAAGAGACUGUCAGGUAUAUGGAGAAGAAAAGAGAUACUGGAACAG